Molecule: ribosomal RNA, 408 nt
Filed under: Staphylococcus aureus
Lineage: Bacteria; Bacillati; Bacillota; Bacilli; Caryophanales; Staphylococcaceae
Description: partial 23S ribosomal RNA
Rfam family: Bacterial large subunit ribosomal RNA
Source: RNAcentral
AGUGACACUGCGCCGAAAAUGUACCGGGGCUAAACAUAUUACCGAAGCUGUGGAUUGUCCUUUGGACAAUGGUAGGAGAGCGUUCUAAGGGCGUUGAAGCAUGAUCGUAAGGACAUGUGGAGCGCUUAGAAGUGAGAAUGCCGGUGUGAGUAGCGAAAGACGGGUGAGAAUCCCGUCCACCGAUUGACUAAGGUUUCCAGAGGAAGGCUCGUCCGCUCUGGGUUAGUCGGGUCCUAAGCUGAGGCCGACAGGCGUAGGCGAUGGAUAACAGGUUGAUAUUCCUGUACCACCUAUAAUCGUUUUAAUCGAUGGGGGGACGCAGUAGGAUAGGCGAAGCGUGCGAUUGGAUUGCACGUCUAAGCAGUAAGGCUGAGUAUUAGGCAAAUCCGGUACUCGUUAAGGCUGAGC